This 20-nucleotide microRNA is filed under the name Oryzias latipes (Japanese medaka). RNAcentral's name for it is "ola-miR-455-3p". Its record names the gene ola-miR-455-3p. The record is from miRBase by way of RNAcentral. Lineage: Eukaryota; Metazoa; Chordata; Actinopteri; Beloniformes; Adrianichthyidae.
UGCAGUCCAUGGGCAUAUAC